CAAGGCUUGACAUCCCUUGACGUGCAUAGAAAUAUGCAUUCCCUUCGGGGCAAGGAGACAGGUGGUGCAUGGUUGUCGUCAGCUCGUGUCGUGAGAUGUUGGGUUAAGUCCCAUAACGAGCGCAACCCUUAUCAUUAGUUGCCAGCGCGUAAAGGCGGGAACUCUAAUGAAACUGCCGGGGAUAACUCGGAGGAAGGUGGGGACGACGUCAAAUCAUCAUGCCCCUUAUGUCUUGGGCUACACACGUGCUACAAUGGCCGGUACAAAGGGCUGCGAAACCGUAAGGUGAAGCGAAUCCCAGAAAACCGGUCCCAGUUCGGAUCGUGGGCUGCAACCCGCCCACGUGAAGCCGGAGUUGCUAGUAAUCGCGAAUCAGCAUGUCGCGGUGAAUGCGUUCCC
This 399-nucleotide ribosomal RNA is filed under the name uncultured bacterium. RNAcentral describes it as "bacterial SSU rRNA". It matches the Rfam family "Bacterial small subunit ribosomal RNA", at positions 975 to 1375 of the family's 1533-position model. The record is from RNAcentral.